RNAcentral lists this ribosomal RNA (301 nucleotides) under uncultured bacterium. RNAcentral describes it as "partial 16S ribosomal RNA". It matches the Rfam family "Bacterial small subunit ribosomal RNA", at positions 509 to 808 of the family's 1533-position model. The record is from RNAcentral.
CAGUCGCCGCGGUAAUACGUAGGUCCCGAGCGUUGUCCGGAUUUAUUGGGUGUAAAGUGAGCGCAGGCGGUUAGAUAAGUCUGAAGUUAAAGGCUGUGGCUUAACCAUAGUACGCUUUGGAAACUGUUUAACUUGAGUGCAAGAGGGGAGAGUGGAAUUCCAUGUGUAGCGGUGAAAUGCGUAGAUAUAUGGAGGAACACCGGUGGCGAAAGCGGCUCUCUGGCUUGUAACUGACGCUGAGGCUCGAAAGCGUGGGGAGCAAACAGGAUUAGAUACCCCGGUAGUCCCUGUCUCUUAUACC